CAGAAGGGAGCUUGCUCCCGGAUGUUAGCGGCGGACGGGUGAGUAACACGUGGGUAACCUGCCUGUAAGACUGGGAUAACUCCGGGAAACCGGAGCUAAUACCGGAUAGUUCCUUGAACCGCAUGGUUCAWGGAUGAAAGACGGUUUCGGCUGUCACUUACAGAUGGACCCGCGGCGCAUUAGCUAGUUGGUGGGGUAAUGGCUCACCAAGGCGACGAUGCGUAGCCGACCAGAGAGGGUGAUCGGCCACACUGGGACUGAGACACGGCCCAGACUCCUACGGGAGGCAGCAGUAGGGAAUCUUCCGCAAUGGACGAAAGUCUGACGGAGCAACGCCGCGUGAGUGAUGAAGGUUUUCGGAUCGUAAAGCUCUGUUGUUAGGGAAGAACAAGUGCGAGAGUAACUGCUCGCACCUUGACGGUACCUAACCAGAAAGCCACGGCUAACUACGUGCCAGCAGCCGCGGUAAUACGUAGGUGGCAAGCGUUGUCCGGAAUUAUUGGGCGUAAAGGGCUCGCAGGCGGUUUCUUAAGUCUGAUGUGAAAGCCCCCGGCUCAACCGGGGAGGGUCAUUGGAAACUGGGAAACUUGAGUGCAGAAGAGGAGAGUGGAAUUCCACGUGUAGCGGUGAAAUGCGUAGAGAUGUGGAGGAACACCAGUGGCGAAGGCGACUCUCUGGUCUGUAACUGACGCUGAGGAGCGAAAGCGUGGGGAGCGAACAGGAUUAGAUACCCUGGUAGUCCACGCCGUAAACGAUGAGUGCUAAGUG
This 768-nucleotide ribosomal RNA is filed under the name Bacillus sp. (in: firmicutes). RNAcentral's name for it is "bacterial SSU rRNA". The record is from RNAcentral. Lineage: Bacteria; Bacillati; Bacillota; Bacilli; Caryophanales; Bacillaceae.